UACGGAGGGGGCUAGCGUUGUUCGGAAUUACUGGGCGUAAAGCGCGCGUAGGCGGACCUGCAAGUCGGGGGUGAAAGCCCGAGGCUCAACCUCGGAACUGCCUUCGAUACUGCGGGUCUCGAGUCCGGGAGAGGUGAGUGGAAUUCCUAGUGUAGAGGUGAAAUUCGUAGAUAUUAGGAAGAACACCAGUGGCGAAGGCGGCUCACUGGCCCGGUACUGACGCUGAGGCGCGAAAGUAAGGGGAUCAAACAGG
This 253-nucleotide ribosomal RNA is filed under the name uncultured bacterium. RNAcentral's name for it is "partial 16S ribosomal RNA". It matches the Rfam family "Bacterial small subunit ribosomal RNA", at positions 524 to 776 of the family's 1533-position model. The record is from RNAcentral.